GGCGGGAGGGGCGGGCGGCGCUUCAGCAGGUGGGGGCUAGGUGUGCAGCUGGGAGAGGGCCUCGCAGGACCGCGACGGCACGCCGCCACGUCGCCAAGGAUUCCUGCUCCUUGGGAACCGGCUCAGAAGCUGAGCUCUCAGCGCAGAAGUGUCGGUGCCCGUGGUCGUCACUUGCCAGCAUAAAUGCCAAAUUUGGGAUGGUGGCGCUCAUGGACCCCGGCAAGGACCCUGAGGACACACUGCACACACACCGGUCCCGGGAGAAGACCUUCAUCUUCGACAUUGUGUUCGACCAGCACACCUCCCAGCAAGAUGUGUACUUGCCACCCCCCAGCACUUAGUGGAAGGCGUCAUUUCUGGAUACAACGCGACGGUGUUUGCCCACGGCCCCUCAGGUGCUGCCAAAGGCCGGUGUCCCCCGGAGGGAAUGAGGUUGGUGGCAGCGGAGCUCUUCCUAACAGCACAAAGCACCUCGUAUGUGCUGGCCUUGCGCUGGUCCCUCUGCAUCCGUUGGCUCCUUUGGUUCUUUCAACAGCCCUGAAAGGUGCCAGCAAGACCCACACGAUGCUGCGCAUGGACGCGGGGCCCGGCAUCUACCUGCAGAUGCUCACUGACCUCUUCCAGGCCGUCGAGGAGACCCGUGAGAGCACGGACUGCAGCGUGUCCAUGUCUUGCCUCGAGAUUUAUAACGAAGUGAUCUGGGACCUCCUGAAGCCGUCCUCGGGGUUUCUGGACCUGCGGGAAGAUUCUAGGGGCAGCAUCCAGAUCGCAGGCAUCGCGGAGGUCUCCGCCUCAAACACCCAGGAGCUCAGGGUCACGGGGGCCCACGGAGGGACAUGUGGCUCCUCCACGUCAGCCACGCUCACCAGCGCUCACAGAGCAGAGCCAGACACACAGCUCCAAAGCUGCUUUCGAGCUAAGGGAACAGCAAACUUCUGCAUCACGUCCCCGCUCUCCUCACCUGUGCUCAGGGCAGACAUCACCAAUGGAUCACGCACUCUUCCCUCUGCGUCCAGAUGCAUGGAGCGUGUGGCUACUCAGGGACCCUUGACCAUCUGCCCGCUUCUGCUUCUGUCCUCAGACCACGCAGCUCCUCACCAAAGGCAACUGGCAGUGCACACAGGAGUCCACCGCCACCAGCAAGAUGUCGUCCCGCUCCCACGCCGUGCUGCAGGUCACCGUGCACCAGCGCAGCCACGGCACAGACAUGGCAGAGGAAGUGCACAUUGGGAGGCUCUCCAUGGUGGACCUGGCGGGCUCGGAGCUGGCGCCUCAGACCCGGAACCGAGGCAAGAGGAUGAAGGAGGGCGUCCCCAUCAACCGCUCCCUGCCGGCGCUGGGCAACGGCAUCAACGCGCUCAGCGAGAAGGGCGGCAGCCAGGCGCAGUACGUGAACUUCCGGGACGCAAACUCACGCGCGCCUGCUGCAGGUGUCCUUCGUGGGGCAGCCAGCUGGCCCUGACCUUGGCCACGUCCCGCCACCAGGUCAAGCGCAACCUGCUGAACGUGUCCUACCACAUCGCACAGUACGCGGACGUCAUCUCCGACCUGGGCAGGCAGAUCAAGCACCCCAAGGCCAAGGUGGAGAAGCAGGAGAAGGAGAAGAGAAGCAUCCCGGAGGCCGACACGCUCCAGGUGGCACUGCUCCCGGUGCAGCUGGCUCUCUUCCUGCCCCCAGCCGCCAUCCCUCCACCCGACACAGAGGAGGACAGCCGCCUGCAGAUGAAGGAGAUCCGGGUGCAGCUCAUCGGGGGCUUCAAGGAGCAGCUGGAGAUGCGACGCAGCCCGGUGGAGCUGGAGAGCACCAGCCUCGAGCUGCACGUGGACGUGUCCCACUACCUGCCGACCAUGGCAGAGCUGGGCUGGAGCAGCGUCUGGCCAAAGCCAAGAAGAAGGCCUCGCCGAUGGAGCAGCUGCCGCCCACGCAGGUCGUCAGCAAGGACAGCGGGAGGCGCUGCGACUGCUUGCAGGGCCCGCGAGCUGGAGGUGGAGGACACGGCACUGCAGGCCAACAGCCUGUGCAGGAAGAACCUGCUGUGCCAGAAGGACUUUGUGAUCCAGUGCUGCCAGCAGCACCGGCGGCUCUGCGAGCAGAUCAUCCAGGACCAGCGGCAGCUGAUUCAGGAUGUUUCGCCCCAUCUCUGCUUCCCGGACUCCCACAGACGGCGGCCUCGUGCGGUGCCGGAAGCCCUGGAGCAGCGGUACGGCCUACACUCCCGGGAGCUGGGUGUAGACACGCUGAACGGCCUGCUGCGGCUGCACUCCGUGAUGUCCAGCGCCCUGCCCGUCCAUCCACGUUGUAGCAGGUGUCCGAGUUUCCUCCCUUUUGAAGGCUGAGUGAUAUUCCAUUGUGUGGAUGGACCACAUUGUGUUCAUCCGUCAUCCGUCGAUGGACACUUGGGUGGCUUCCACACUUUUGGCUGCUGACGGCUCUGUUCUGCACAUCUCUCCCCCGCCGGAGGAGCCCAGCCGAGACCAGUGGGACGACAGGGAGGACCUCCCGUGGGGGGCCCAGUGUGAGCUGCCGCCCAUGCUGCUGGAUCCAGACAGUGAUGGUUACGAGUCAUCGAAAGCCACGCCAUCGAAAAAGCUGGGGAAGCAAGACUCUCUUCUCCCCCCGUCAUCCCUCCGCCUCCUGCUGACCCCCCAAGUUCGCGAGGUUGGUGUGUGCGGCGCUAACCAGGACCCCGGGCUCUAGUGAGGCCUCCCCUGCCAACAGGGUCGUGGGGCCCCUUCAGAGCUGUGCUGGGCCAGGGUCGAGCAUGAGAGAAGCUUCUGGAAGGAGGACUCUCCUUAAGCAGCCGUCACAACAGUGAAGCCGAGCUCCCUGAGUGUGAAGAAUCUGGUCCCCCAGCUGUGCUCCCCGGCCGGCCUGGAGCUGGGCACCCACACUGAGGAUGGCAGCAGAGGCCGGGCUGAGAGCCCAGGCCCUCAAGGAGCACCGAGAGCAUUGCCCUCACUGCGGCCACCCGGUGCUCCAAGGCUGGGACCGCGAGGGCAGCAGCGGCCACUCUUCCCCCCACCCUCUGGGGGACAUGGCCCCGGACUUCAGGGACCCCAAGCCCAGCGUCACCCCGGAGGCCAGCCCAGCAGACAGGAGGUGGCCGCACGCCAGCCCCGGCAAGGACCGCUCCGUGGAGAGGAAGGCCAGGGGGAAGCGGUCACCCUCCCUCACCUGGGGCGUCCAGCUGGUGGGUGCUCUGGUCCCAGGGGUCCAGCCAGAGCAGCAGAGGGGGAAGUUCCGGGACUGGCCUCAACAAAGUUAUGGUGGGUGUGGGAGGACCCAGGAUGCAAGGGAGAGAGAAGAGAGCCAGGGCCCCCACCUGCACCUUCACUGUGACCAUUUCCCCCGCCUUCUGACCUGAAGCCACGUGUGUACAUAUUGUGUGUGGUCAUCAUCCCAGGGGAAAUGCAGUUUUGUGA
RNA transcript from Balaenoptera musculus (blue whale), 3423 nucleotides. It is a transcript of the gene named kinesin-like protein KIF19, with no coding region annotated. The transcript has 15 exons. The record is from RefSeq and is a predicted model, not a curated record. Lineage: Eukaryota; Metazoa; Chordata; Mammalia; Artiodactyla; Balaenopteridae.